RNAcentral lists this ribosomal RNA (492 nucleotides) under uncultured bacterium. Its description in RNAcentral is "partial 16S ribosomal RNA". It matches the Rfam family "Bacterial small subunit ribosomal RNA", at positions 29 to 507 of the family's 1533-position model. The record is from RNAcentral.
AGUGAACGCUGGCGGUAGGCCUAACACAUGCAAGUCGAACGGCAGCACAGUAAGAGCUUGCUCUUACGGGUGGCGGGUGGCGGACGGGUGAGGAAUACAUCGGAAUCUACUUUUUCGUGGGGGAUAACGUAGGGAAACUUACGCUAAUACCGCAUACGACCUACGGGUGAAAGCAGGGGAUCUUCGGACCUUGCGCGAUUGAAUGAGCCGAUGUCGGAUUAGCUAGUUGGCGGGGUAAAGGCCCACAAAGGCGACGAUCCGUAGCUGGUCUGAGAGGAUGAUCAGCCACACUGGAACUGAGACACGGUCCAGACUCCUACGGGAGGCAGCAGUGGGGAAUAUUGGGCAAUGGGCGCAAGCCUGAUCCAGCCAUACCGCGUGGGUGAAGAAGGCCUUCGGGUUGUAAAGCCCUUUUGUUGGGAAAGAAAAGCAGCAGGUUAAUACCCCGCUGUUCUGACGGUACCCAAAGAAUAAGCACCGGCUAACUUCGUG